Molecule: long non-coding RNA, 322 nt
Filed under: Pan troglodytes (chimpanzee)
Lineage: Eukaryota; Metazoa; Chordata; Mammalia; Primates; Hominidae
Description: long non-coding RNA NONPTRT014663
Source: RNAcentral
GGGGAGAGUUGGAGAAUGGAGAAAAGGGAGACAAAACACAUGACAUCUACCCUACCAUUGAGAGAGUGCUUUAAGUCCUGACAGAAAAGAAAGAUCAUACGUCAGAAAACAGUAUUUACACCUGGUCUGAAAUACCAAUAUCUGCUAGACCUCAUCGUUCAGUUCAGAGAUUCCUGUCAGCAGACACAAUCUCCUUCUAUCUACUAGUUCCUGCACAAAAGGCUCCCAAGGCCUCCUUCUGAGGACCACUGACACUUAACUCCAAUGAAGAAUGAAGAAUUAGAGUCAAUUUAUUACCAGCAAGUUUGAAAACAUCCCAAAG